Molecule: ribosomal RNA, 1390 nt
Filed under: metagenome
Description: bacterial LSU rRNA
Rfam family: Bacterial large subunit ribosomal RNA
Source: RNAcentral
AAGGCUGCGAAUGACACAUGGGAUCACAUCAACUAGACAAUCGAAUGUUGAGCUUAGGGUUCGCCCGAAGCGUAUUGGUGGGGUCCUGUGUCGAGAAAAGUUCGCAGUUGUUCCCCGGACAACCCGUACCGUAAACCGACACAGGUGGGUGAGUGUAAGCGCACUCAGGCGCGCGAGAGAAACCUCUCUAAGGAACUCGGCACAUUAGCCUCGUAACUUCGGGAGAAGAGGUGCCCACUUCGGUGGGCCUCAGUAAAUUGCGUUUAGCGACUGUUUAACAAAAACACAGCACUCUGCCAAGUCGUGAAGACGACGUAUAGGGUGUGACACGUGACCAAUGCGGAAAGAUUAAACCAUCUUGUUAGCCGCAAGGCGAAGCUCGGUGGCCAAGUCCCCGUGAAUGUCGGCCGUAACUAUAACGGUCCUAAGGUAGCGAAAUUCCUUGUCGGGUAAGUUCCGACCUGCACGAAUCGUGUAACGACUGAACGACUGUCUCGGAGAGGAUCUCGGCGAAACUGUAACGGCGGUGAAGAUGCCGCCUGCCCGCAGUAGGACGGAAAGACCCUAUGCACCUUUACUGUAAGCUCGUAUUGUGUUCUGAUUAAUUUUGCGUAGCGUAGGUGGGAGACUUUGAAGCGAGUCCUUCGGGGCUCGUGGAGUCGCAAUGUGAAACACCACUCUUAGUUAAUUAGGAUUCUAACCCCGAUUUCUGUGAAGCCAGACGGGGGACAGUGCGUGCGGGUCAGUUUGACUGGGGCGGUUUCCUCCCAAAGAGUAACGGAGGAGCGCGAUGCUUGGUUCAGCACGUUUGGCAAUCGUGCGUUGAGGGUAUGGCUAGAAACCAGGUUAACUGUGAGACGUACAUGUCGAGCAGAUGCGAAAGCAGCCCCAAAUGAUCCGACGGUAUGAAUGUGGAAUUGCCGUCGCUCAUCGACAAAAGGUACGCUAGGGAUAACAGGCUGAUCGGAUCCAAGAGUUCACAUCGACGAUCCGGUUUGGCACCUCGAUGUCGGCUCAUCGCAUCCUGGGGCUGGAGAAGGUCCCAAGGGUCCGGCUGUUCGCCGGUUAAAGCGGUACGCGAGCUGGGUUCAGAACGUCGUGAGACAGUUCGGUCCUUAUCCACUGUGGGCGAAGGAAACUUGAGGGGUUCUAACCUUAGUACGAGAGGACCGGGUUAGACGCACUUCUGGUGUGGCAGUUGUUCCAUCCGGGGCAUCGCUGCGUAGCCAUGUGCGGAAGAGAUAAGCGCUGAAAGCAUCUAAGUGCCAAGCUCCUCCCAAGAUAUUGUUUCCCGGGGCGCAAGCCCCCUAAAGACCACGGGCAGACUACCCGUUUGAUAGGCUAGAAAUGUAAGCGCCGCAAGGUGUUCAGUUGACUAGUACUAGUCGGU